GACGAACGCUGGCGGCGUGCCUAAUACAUGCAAGUCGAGCGCAGGAAAUCGACGGAACCCUUCGGGGGGAAGUCGACGGAAUGAGCGGCGGACGGGUGAGUAACACGUAAAGAACCUGCCCUCAGGUCUGGGAUAACCACGAGAAAUCGGGGCUAAUACCGGAUGGGUCAUCGGACCGCAUGGUCCGAGGAUGAAAGGCGCUUCGGCGUCGCCUGGGGAUGGCUUUGCGGUGCAUUAGCUAGUUGGUGGGGUAAUGGCCCACCAAGGCGACGAUGCAUAGCCGACCUGAGAGGGUGAUCGGCCCACCUGGGACUGAGACACGGCCCAGACUCCUACGGGAGGCAGCAGUAGGGAAUCCUCCACAAUGGACGAAAGUCUGAUGGAGCAACGCCGCGUGAUCGAUGAAGGCCUUCGGGUCGUAAAGUUCUGUUGUAAGGGAAGAACAAGUGCCGCAGGCAAUGGCGGCACCUCGACGGUACCUUGCGAGAAAGCCACGGCUAACUACGUGCCAGCCGCCGCAGUAA
RNAcentral lists this ribosomal RNA (524 nucleotides) under uncultured bacterium. Its description in RNAcentral is "partial 16S ribosomal RNA". It matches the Rfam family "Bacterial small subunit ribosomal RNA", at positions 28 to 523 of the family's 1533-position model. The record is from RNAcentral.